RNAcentral lists this non-coding RNA (28 nucleotides) under Rattus norvegicus (Norway rat). Lineage: Eukaryota; Metazoa; Chordata; Mammalia; Rodentia; Muridae. The record is from RNAcentral.
UGCCUGCCGUCUGGAUGCCCUAGCUUCA